RNAcentral lists this ribosomal RNA (465 nucleotides) under Vreelandella stevensii. RNAcentral describes it as "partial 16S ribosomal RNA". It matches the Rfam family "Bacterial small subunit ribosomal RNA", at positions 338 to 795 of the family's 1533-position model. Lineage: Bacteria; Pseudomonadati; Pseudomonadota; Gammaproteobacteria; Oceanospirillales; Halomonadaceae. The record is from RNAcentral.
CCUACGGGCGGCAGCAGUGGGGAAUAUUGGACAAUGGGGGGAACCCUGAUCCAGCCAUGCCGCGUGUGUGAAGAAGGCCCUCGGGUUGUAAAGCACUUUCAGUGAGGAAGAACGCCUGGUGGUUAAUACCCAUCAGGAAAGACAUCACUCACAGAAGAAGCACCGGCUAACUCCGUGCCAGUAGCCGCGGUAAUACGGAGGGUGCGAGCGUUAAUCGGAAUUACUGGGCGUAAAGCGCGCGUAGGUGGCUUGAUAAGCCGGUUGUGAAAGCCCCGGGCUCAACCUGGGAACGGCAUCCGGAACUGUCAAGCUAGAGUGCAGGAGAGGAAGGUAGAAUUCCCGGUGUAGCGGUGAAAUGCGUAGAGAUCGGGAGGAAUACCAGUGGCGAAGGCGGCCUUCUGGACUGACACUGACACUGAGGUGCGAAAGCGUGGGUAGCAAACAGGAUUAGAUACCCCAGUAGUC